Molecule: ribosomal RNA, 62 nt
Filed under: Pseudoplagiostoma eucalypti
Lineage: Eukaryota; Fungi; Ascomycota; Sordariomycetes; Diaporthales; Pseudoplagiostomataceae
Description: partial 28S rRNA
Source: RNAcentral
AGUUGACCUCGGAUCAGGUAGGAAUACCCGCUGAACUUAAGCAUAUCAAUAGGAGGGGAGAA